Molecule: ribosomal RNA, 253 nt
Filed under: uncultured bacterium
Lineage: Bacteria
Description: partial small subunit ribosomal RNA
Rfam family: Bacterial small subunit ribosomal RNA
Source: RNAcentral
AGGACGAACGCUGGCGGCGUGCUUAACACAUGCAAGUCGAGCGGAAAGGCCCUUCGGGGUACUCGAGCGGCGAACGGGUGAGUAACACGUGAGCAAUCUGCCCUUAGCUUCGGGAUAGCUCCGGGAAACCGGAAUUAAUACCGGAUAUGACUAUGGCUGACAUCAGCCACGGUGGAAAGUUUUUCGGCUAGGGAUGAGCUCGCGGCCUAUCAGCUAGUUGGCGGGUAAUGGCCCACCAAGGCGAUGAUCGGUA